Molecule: non-coding RNA, 267 nt
Organism: Vicia faba (fava bean)
Lineage: Eukaryota; Viridiplantae; Streptophyta; Magnoliopsida; Fabales; Fabaceae
Source: the annotation of a GenBank genome assembly
AUGGCGAGGGGUUUAGUUAGUAAGGGGAAGGGAAUGAGAAGAGGGGGUUCCAAGGAUGUUAGCCUGUUGAGAUUCGAGUUCAUUGAUCUGCUGUUCACGAUCCAUGGCAACGAUGAGAGGGACAACGAGGAUGAGAAAACUGGUUCCGGCGAUCCAUGCUGCCUUGCCGGUGCUGCGGAGAAGCUUCUUUGCGACGAAGACGGCGUCGGAGGCGGCUUCCUUCGUGCGGCGGACUACGGGGGAUUCGGAAACCCUAGACGCCGGUGA